AUAUGAGUCUUAUUCAAAUGUUACCUGACUAAAUAAUCUUUAGUUCAGUUAACAAAAUCCAUUGAGGAAAAUUGAGGUAGAUUUUACAGAAUUCUUUAUUGUGUAACUAAUAGUCCCCUUUAACCCUGUUGGUAUAAGACUAACAGAAACUGAAUAACAAUUUGUGUCCAGUGUUUGACUUUAGAUUGACACUAUGCUGAGUGUAAGACUAACAGAAACUUAAUAACAAUUUGUGUCCAGUGUUUGGCUUUAGAUUGACACCAUGCUGAGUUUCAGCUGGGGGUAUGUUAGAGCACUGCAGCAUUCAUAAUUUGAAAGGAUGAGGGUUAAUGGAGUAAAACUAGGAAGGACAGAGACCAUGUGACCAGCAUCAAAUCUAUAGGGAAAACUACUGCCCAGAUUUUGAUUGACAGAUCUAUACAGAUACAGUGGAGCCUCGUUAAUCCGGACACUUUGGUUCCUAGCAAAAUCAUCUGGAUAAAUGAAGCGUCCGGAUAACUGAAUCACAUAUUUUUCAUCUUUAUACAUAAGUAACCAAUAUGCAUACUUUAUUGAUGCAUAUUGAAUUAAACACAUUCUAUCAUUGGAUUUAACCAUUUGCAUUAGUAAAUAAAUCAUGAUAUAAUGUUAAUAUUUACAUGCAUUUCAAAGCUCUAAAAUUGAAAUAUACGUGUGCAGUGUAUUUGCCUAUCUAACUGACAUAUCAUCACACACCACCUAAUUAAAGGGAGGUGUUGACAGGGUGCAGGUAAUCACUUCAAUUAGACAGUUUGUCUUGUUUUCUUUAUAAUUUACGCCUUGCUAAAAUUGUCCGACACAGACUUUCCUUUAAAAAAAAUUACUGUCCGGAUUAACGGUACAAUUUUCAAUGCAUUUUAACGUUUUGUAGUAAAAAAUGACCAUCCGGAACGCGAAUUUCUGGAUUAAUGAUGCAAAAUAACGUAUAAAAAUUCCGUUUCCUAGAAAAAUUGUAUGGAAGGUGAAGCGUCCGUAUUAAUGGCGUCUGGAUUACCGCGGCUCCACUGUAGAUUUACAUACAAAAUGCACACUCUUGUCAUGCAAAAUUAAAUCAGAAACUAUACUCUUGUAUGCAAGUGUGUAAAAAAACUAAAUGCAUAGUGAUGAAGAUCAGGAAGGCCUCUACCAAAUUUGUAAAUUUCAUGAUCUCCUGGGUAGAGGUUCUGACUUCAGGAUGGGGCCAAACUUGGUAUAUAUUAAUGCGUUUAUGUGUGAAACAUUUAAAUAACGUCUACUUUAGUGCUAUUGAUACUAAAUUGAAACUAUAUGUAUAAAUUCCUUUUCCUUGAGUUGUAACUUGCAAAGUUAUAAUGAAAUUACUAAUAAUUUUUGAAAUAUAUGUAUCACAUUUAUACCCCCAAGAAAACGACCCAAAAAAAUGAAAGGCAAAUAAAAAAAAAAAUAGAUUGGGAAAAUAUCGGACUUGAACUUGGAAUGUAUGCUUUAAGUGUAAGAUUACCGAGUACCUAAACCUACCACUAGGCCACCCAGGCAUGUAAGUUUAAAGAUUACACCUUUGACAGACUGCUAAAUCUCAAGGUAAUUAAAUUUUGAGAAUGAUUUAAAAAAUAUUUUAACCAUUUUCAACAAGAGGGCCACCUUAAACCAAAUUUCCUCAAAUGGACUUUUAUACAGUCAUACACAAGUAAAACAAUUUCAGUGUUUUAUUUCUGGUUUAGGGUGGCCUUUUGAAACAGUUUGCAAUUUUUUAAAGGCCCAUUAUGUUACAUCUACUAUAUACUGUAUAUAAUCACAAUGAUGUUUAUGCUUAUCAAAUAAAGAUACUAUCAACAUAUAGAUAUCUUUAUUGAGUAAUUUGGGUAAAACACAAGUACAAACUGACAUUGUGUAGCAGAAUAUUUGUAAACAAUGAUAUUCAAAAAAAAAGUAUUUAUGUAGGCGAAAUUGGAUACCAAGUGCGCUAUAUAUACUUUUUUAUGGGUUAACAAUUGAACAUUUUGAACUUCUUCAUGAUAACUACCAUUCCAAUUCUUUUCAAAUUUUGUAUGAAGCAUCUUUGGGACAAGGGGGACAUAAAUUGUAAAUUUUAGGACUGCUGCACUCCAUUAGCUUUAGAGGCGGGUCAAAAACUGUCAAAAAUUGACCAAUUUUCAAAAAUCUUCAUUUGUAAAACCACCUAUCUGUAACUAUAGAUGCAGAGUGAUGAAGAUCAGGAAGGCCUCUACCAAAAUUUUAAAUUUCAUGCUUGUCGGGGUAGAGGUUCUGACUGCAGGGCAGGGCAAAACUUAGUACUGUAUACUCUGGAUAUAAUGAAAUUCAGGGGACCCCAAAGUUCAAUAUAACCAAUGCUCAACUACACAAAUAUUGCUACUAGGGAUUUAUUUUAACUUCAAUAUAACAGAUAGUUCAAUAUAACCAACUUCAAUAUAAAUGGAGUGCACUGUAUUUAUAUAGAUAGUAUUCAUGUGUAAAACAUUUCAAUAACAUCUUUGAUGCUAUUGAUACUAAAUAGAUAUUUAGAAGGAGUUGGUAGUCCUUUACCAAAGUUGUGAAUUCAAUGAUCCCAAGGGUAAGGGUUUUGGUUGUAGGGUGGUGCCAAAAUUCUUAUAGUUAUUUAUUGUCUUAAGAUAUCAUUUGAAAGAUUUCUUUAAAGGGAACGUAGGGUCAAAAAUCAAAUUUUGAUAUGUGAAAACUGGUACCAUGCAGACAACAAAAUCUAGCAUAGAAAAAAUAAUUGCUGCUGAUAACAAGAUUUAAUCUGUCAUUUACACUGAAAACUGAGCUGAAUGGGAGAAUCUCUUAUCAUGGCGGCUGAUGACGUGUAUGCGGCAAUUCAUUACAACUGCUGUGCCUAUAGCACUAAAUGGGUUACAGAGUAUCUAUAAUCUAAAUAUCAGGAGUUCAAGCGAAAUUUUGCACUGUGGUCAAAGAAAAAGGAAUACAUGUAUCUACCUUUUAGCAUCCCUGAUCUCCCCCCAAAACUAUGAACAUUGUGCAAUAAUUGGAUACAUAACCUUGGAAGUGAAUCUUUUGUUUUUGAACGGCAUUUUGAGAAAGAGUCUUUUAAAGAGGAUAUCAGGGUAAGUACCAGUUAUAUUUGCUUUUUACUCAGUAAAUACUAAUAAUUCUUAAUGUGUAUAACCAGAGUUUAUUUACAACAAACUUUUACUUAUAUAAUAAUUUUCUAAUUUAAUCUAUCCUUAUCCAGUGAACAUUUUGUACAGGCUAAAUAUGAAGGGAUGGGUAAACACUGCUUUUUAAAUAUUCAAAGUUAAAUUAAUAUCUAUUUAAGUUAAGAUAUUGGGAUACACACCAAAACCUAUUAAAAAGAAGAUGCAGUAACUAAAAUAUUUGAUGACAGCAAGCCUAAGAAAUAAGAGAAAAUAGCUCAAAAAGAUGAGGAAAAGCAGGAUACAUGUUAUACUUUCAAAAAUCAUCACAGCACUAGCACAUUUUGUAUUAUACUAUUGUUUUUAAAGAAAUUGAAAAUGUACAAGUAAACAAAUGAAGUAUAGUAUAUAUGAAGUAUAGUAUAUAUGAAGUAAGUAUAUAUAAUUAAUUAGUCAUUAUUUUUCAGCUAAUCCAUUUUCUUUUGGAAACCAAUGAAAACUCAUAUGCAGAACCUAUUGACCAACCUGGACUAUCAGCAUCUUAGGAAACAGCUGAAUGAAGACAUGAAUAGUGACAAAAAUAUCCCACUCUCAAUCCAUAUUGAAGAAUAAAUCAACUUUGUGCAACAUAUACAGAUAGAAUUGCCCAGUCAUUGUCCAUCAUAUGUGCUAAGGAAUGUUCAAGUGAAGAAUGAAGAAGUGAAGAUAAUGAACAAUCCUGUAUAAAGAAUACAAAAUUAAAAGUUUAAGAAUUAA
This is a long non-coding RNA of Ostrea edulis (European flat oyster), 3845 nucleotides long. RefSeq lists it as uncharacterized. Lineage: Eukaryota; Metazoa; Mollusca; Bivalvia; Ostreida; Ostreidae. The record is from RefSeq and is a predicted model, not a curated record. The transcript is spliced from 2 exons.